AGCAGCCGCGGUAAUUCCAGCUCCAAUAGCGUAUAUUAAAGUUGUUGCAGUUAAAAAGCUCGUAGUUGAAUUUCGAGAUCAAAUUGUUGGUCGUGCCUUGGUACGCACUGGCAUUAUUGGUUUCUCCCUUCUGACGAAUCAUGAUGUCAUUAAUUUGGUGUCUUGGGGAAUCAGGACUGUUACUUUGAAAAAAUUUAGAGUGUUUAAAGCAGGCUCACGCUUGAAUACAUUAGCAUGGAAUAAUGAAAUAGGACGUUUGAUUCUAUUUUGUUGGUUUCUAGGAUCGACGUAAUGAUUAAUAGGGAUAGUUGGGGGCAUUAGUAUUCAAUUGUCAGAGGUGAAAUUCUUGGAUUUAUUGAGGACUAACUACUGCGAAAGCAUUUGCCAAGGAUGUUUUCAUUAAUCAAGAACGAAAGUUAGGGGAUCGAAGACGAUCAGAUACUGUCGUAGUCUUAACCAUAAACUAUGCCGACUAGGGAUCGGAUGAUGUUAAUUUUUUUAGUGACUCAUUCGGCGCCUU
Molecule: ribosomal RNA, 520 nt
Filed under: uncultured Glomus
Lineage: Eukaryota; Fungi; Glomeromycota; Glomeromycetes; Glomerales; Glomeraceae
Description: SSU rRNA
Rfam family: Eukaryotic small subunit ribosomal RNA
Source: RNAcentral